Molecule: small nuclear RNA, 169 nt
Organism: Chlorocebus sabaeus (green monkey)
Lineage: Eukaryota; Metazoa; Chordata; Mammalia; Primates; Cercopithecidae
Gene: U1
Rfam family: U1 spliceosomal RNA
About the family: U1 is a small nuclear RNA (snRNA) component of the spliceosome (involved in pre-mRNA splicing). Its 5' end forms complementary base pairs with the 5' splice junction, thus defining the 5' donor site of an intron.
Source: Ensembl
AUACUUUCCUGGCAGGAGGAAUACCAUGAUCAUGAAGGUGGUUUUUCUUAAGGCGAGGCUCGUCCAUUGUACUUUAGGUGUACGUAUUGAUGCCUGCGAUUUCCCUAAAUGUCAGAAACUCGACUGCGUAAUUUGUGGUAGUGGGGGACUGCAUUCGCGCUUUUUUCUG